GGCGGGGUAGCUCAGUGGUAGAGCAGCGGACUCAUAAGCCGUUGGUCGGUGGUUCAAUCCCACUCUCCGCCACCA
This 75-nucleotide transfer RNA is filed under the name Alphaproteobacteria bacterium. RNAcentral's name for it is "tRNA-Met". It matches the Rfam family "tRNA". Rfam says of the family: Transfer RNA (tRNA) molecules are approximately 80 nucleotides in length. Their secondary structure includes four short double-helical elements and three loops (D, anti-codon, and T loops). The record is from RNAcentral. Lineage: Bacteria; Pseudomonadati; Pseudomonadota; Alphaproteobacteria.